This is a non-coding RNA of Cinara cedri, 1880 nucleotides long. The record is from the annotation of a GenBank genome assembly. Lineage: Eukaryota; Metazoa; Arthropoda; Insecta; Hemiptera; Aphididae.
GUGUUGUUACACUUACAACACUACUCCUCGCUACGUCACUGCGUGUGAAAAUAGUUAAAAACCUUCGAAAUUUGUAGAAAAAAAAAAAUCGGCGUUUUUUUUGUUAACUGAACAUUACCCAAUAGUUGUUCUGAUCGGAUCUCAUCGGAUAAACAUUAAAAUUAAAUCCAUUCCCCAAUAUUCGAUAGGCGUAUCGGUCGCCCAUCAAUAUCAUCAUCUAUACCAACGCUUCCCAACCUAUGGGUCGGGACCCAAUAUUGGGUAGUGAAAUAUUUUUGAUGGUUCUCGAUGAAAGAAACAUAUUUUGAUUAUAAUAUAAUAAAAUAGAAAAAAUAAAAAUAUAUUAGCAAGAAUAAUAAGAAAAUACGCAAAAUAAAUGUGAAAAAUCGAAAAAAAACGGAGGGAAACUGACAAUGUACGAAAUAUAAGUAUUAGUUGAAAAAUAUUACGUCCAUUUUUUUUCCUGUGAACAAUUUUUCUACCAGAAAUUUUGCUCCGAUCUACAAUGAUAGUACUUUUUCUAAAUGGAAAUCCGAUUGGAAAGGUACUUUAGAAGAUCAUUUUUCGAUUUUCUCAAGAGUUUUCCAAGCAAAUGUGAUAAACCGGGAAAAAACGGGAAAUCGGUACAAUAUAAAACACAACUAUUAUUAAAGAAAUUAUAUAAUACCUAUUUAAUUAUUUUACCAUAAUAUGACAUGUAUAUAUUGUUGACAAAGUAUCACUAUUAACUGAACUCGGCUCAGAAUCGUUUUUCGUUAGAAAUGGUUUAUCGUUGCUUACAUAUGGUAUAUAUAUUAAAUUCCAUUCUGUAUCCCAUCUUCUCAACUUCCCACCUACAGCAGUGGCUGUACUCCCAUUAUCCUAGGGCAACUUUUUUUAAUGUGGGUCGCAUACUCAAAAAAAAGUAAAUGUGUGGGUAGCGCCAUAACGAAAAGAUUGGGAACCACUGAUCUAUACAACUAUACCUAUACACUUGCGCAUUACUGAUCGAAUGUUUUUUUUUUCUAGUAGAAUACAUAAUAUUAUAUUUCCUGCGUUUAUUUCAAGGUGUUUUUUUUUUUUUCUAACUCGGUCAACGACAAAAAUGCGUGUAUUGACUUACUGUUGUACCUAAUAUUGCAAUAUAAUAUUUCGGUGCGUAAAAUCCAACGAGUAUUGCACGACGAUCGUCUCGAAAACUACAUACACCCGCACGACACUCUUUAAACGAAAAUAUAGAAUAUUAACAUUAAAAAAAACAACAACACCACUCAACUAUUAAGUAUAUAAUGUUUUAGUAUUAUUAUACAGAAGUAUUAUGCAAUACCACGAAUUCGCAUAAUUUUUCACCGUAGAUAUUGUUUUUGCAUAAUAUUGUUAUUAAAAGCUAUACGGGUCGGCCUGCAAACUGUCGGUGCUGCACCUUAUCGGGUCUCGCGAACGACACGGCUUAUUUUACAAAAAAUCCUGUCAUCAGAGUGAUCAUUAACCCGAGCCAUAGGUACGCUGUGUCAUAUUAAUAUUUUUCGGUUUAUUAGUGUUACACAAUAAUUCAGUUUAUUAACAAAAUUAUAAAAAAAAAUAAAUAAAUAAUCGUAUGCGCAACUGGUAACGAUAAUUUGUUAUACGAGACACUAAUUAAUCUAACCAUCAUUUAAAUAUUCAAAUGUCAACCAUAGUUAUUCGGUAUAUAAUUUCUAAUUAUUAUACAACUAUAAAUUAUCAACUUAGUUUUAGUAAAUGUUUUUUAUUAACAAAUGUUUAGUCAUUUUAAAUUAUUAAAUGAUGGCGAAUUGAUAAUGUAUAAUUAGGAAAUUAAACUAAACAUAUAAACAGAAAUGAUUACGUCCAUAUUUAUUUAUGUAUAUCUCAUUAUAUAAAUUAUACAUUAAAUAUAUUUA